GCCAACGUGGGUGUUGGAGAGCACAAGGCUCUUAACCUUGUGGUCGUGGGUUCGAGCCCCACGGUGGGCG
This 70-nucleotide transfer RNA is filed under the name Zea mays. It matches the Rfam family "tRNA". Rfam says of the family: Transfer RNA (tRNA) molecules are approximately 80 nucleotides in length. Their secondary structure includes four short double-helical elements and three loops (D, anti-codon, and T loops). Lineage: Eukaryota; Viridiplantae; Streptophyta; Magnoliopsida; Poales; Poaceae. The record is from Rfam by way of RNAcentral.